RNAcentral lists this ribosomal RNA (253 nucleotides) under uncultured bacterium. RNAcentral describes it as "partial 16S ribosomal RNA". It matches the Rfam family "Bacterial small subunit ribosomal RNA", at positions 524 to 776 of the family's 1533-position model. The record is from RNAcentral.
GACAGAGGGUGCAAACGUUGUUCGGAAUUACUGGGCGUAAAGCGUGCGCAGGCGGCGAUGUAAGUCAGAUGUGAAAUCCCCGGGCUCAACCUGGGAACUGCAUUUGUGACUGCAUCGCUGGAGUGCGGCAGAGGGGGAUGGAAUUCCGCGUGUAGCAGUGAAAUGCGUAGAUAUGCGGAGGAACACCGAUGGCGAAGGCAAUCCCCUGGACCUGUACUGACGCUCAUGCACGAAAGCGUGGGGAGCAAACAGG